GCACGACAGUGCGAUAGGGGGAUUCCGAGUGCGAGGGCAUACAGUCCUCGCUUUUCUGGACCGUAAGGAGGUCCAAGAAUAAGGGCUGGGCAAGACCGGUGCCAGCCGCCGCGGUAAUACCGGCAGCCCGAGUGAUGGCCGAUAUUAUUGGGCCUAAAGCGUCCGUAGCUGGCCAGACAAGUCCGUUGGGAAAUCCACGCGCUCAACGCGUGGGCGUCCAGCGGAAACUGCCUAGCUUGGGGCCGGAGGACUCGAGGGGUACGUCCGGGGUAGGAGUGAAAUCCCGUAAUCCUGGACGGACCACCGGUGGCGAAAGCGCCUCGAGAGGACGGACCCGACAGUGAGGGACGAAAG
Molecule: ribosomal RNA, 354 nt
Filed under: uncultured haloarchaeon
Lineage: Archaea; Methanobacteriati; Methanobacteriota; Halobacteria; Halobacteriales; Halobacteriaceae
Description: bacterial SSU rRNA
Rfam family: Archaeal small subunit ribosomal RNA
Source: RNAcentral